This 1346-nucleotide ribosomal RNA is filed under the name uncultured bacterium. RNAcentral's name for it is "partial 16S ribosomal RNA". It matches the Rfam family "Bacterial small subunit ribosomal RNA", at positions 28 to 1381 of the family's 1533-position model. The record is from RNAcentral.
GACGAACGCUGGCGGCGUGCUUAACACAUGCAAGUCGAACGGAAAGGCCCUGCUUUUGUGGGGUGCUCGAGUGGCGAACGGGUGAGUAACACGUGAGUAACCUGCCCUUGACUUUGGGAUAACUUCAGGAAACUGGGGCUAAUACCGGAUAGGAGCUCCUGCUGCAUGGUGGGGGUUGGAAAGUUUCGGCGGUUGGGGAUGGACUCGCGGCUUAUCAGCUUGUUGGUGGGGUAGUGGCUUACCAAGGCUUUGACGGGUAGCCGGCCUGAGAGGGUGACCGGCCACAUUGGGACUGAGAUACGGCCCAGACUCCUACGGGAGGCAGCAGUGGGAAAUAUUGCACAAUGGGCGGAAGCCUGAUGCAGCAACGCCGCGUGCGGGAUGACGGCCUUCGGGUUGUAAACCGCUUUCGCCUGUGACGAAGCGUGAGUGACGGUAAUGGGUAAAGAAGCACCGGCUAACUACGUGCCAGCAGCCGCGGUGAUACGUAGGGUGCGAGCGUUGUCCGGAUUUAUUGGGCGUAAAGGGCUCGUAGGUGGUUGAUCGCGUCGGAAGUGUAAUCUUGGGGCUUAACCCUGAGCGUGCUUUCGAUACGGGUUGACUUGAGGAAGGUAGGGGAGAAUGGAAUUCCUGGUGGAGCGGUGGAAUGCGCAGAUAUCAGGAGGAACACCAGUGGCGAAGGCGGUUCUCUGGGCCUUUCCUGACGCUGAGGAGCGAAGGCGUGGGGAGCGAACAGGCUUAGAUACCCUGGUAGUCCACGCUGUAAACGGUGGGUACUAGGUGUGGGGUCCAUUCCACGGGUUCCGUGCCGUAGCUAACGCUUUAAGUACCCCGCCUGGGGAGUACGGCCGCAAGGCUAAAACUCAAAGGAAUUGACGGGGCCCCGCACAAGCGGCGGAGCAUGCGGAUUAAUUCGAUGCAACGCGUAGAACCUUACCUGGGUUUGACAUGGAUCGGGAGUGCUCAGAGAUGGGUGUGCCUCUUUUGGGGUCGGUUCACAGGUGGUGCAUGGCUGUCGUCAGCUCGUGUCGUGAGAUGUUGGGUUAAGUCCCGCAACGAGCGCAACCCUUGUUCACUGUUGCCAGCACGUUAUGGUGGGGACUCAGUGGAGACCGCCGGGGUCAACUCGGAGGAAGGUGGGGAUGACGUCAAGUCAUCAUGCCCCUUAUGUCCAGGGCUUCACGCAUGCUACAAUGGCUGGUACAGAGAGUGGCGAGCCUGUGAGGGUGAGCGAAUCUCGGAAAGCCGGUCUCAGUUCGGAUUGGGGUCUGCAACUCGACCUCAUGAAGUCGGAGUCGCUAGUAAUCGCAGAUCAGCAACGCUGCGGUGAAUACGUUCCCGGGGCU